UGGGGAAUAUUGCACAAUGGGCGCAAGCCUGAUGCAGCCAUGCCGCGUGUGUGAAGAAGGCCUUCGGGUUGUAAAGCACUUUCAGCGAGGAGGAAGGUGGUGAGCUUAAUACGCUCAUCAAUUGACGUUACUCGCAGAAGAAGCACCGGCUAACUCCGUGCCGGCAGCCGCGGUAAUACGGAGGGUGCAAGCGUUAAUCGGAAUUACUGGGCGUAAAGCGCACGCAGGCGGUUUGUUAAGUCAGAUGUGAAAUCCCCGGGCUCAACCUGGGAACUGCAUUUGAAACUGGCAAGCUAGAGUCUCGUAGAGGGGGGUAGAAUUCCAGGUGUAGCGGUGAAAUGCGUAGAGAUCUGGAGGAAUACCGGUGGCGAAGGCGGCCCCCUGGACGAAGACUGACGCUCAGGUGCGAAAAGCGUGGGGAGCAAAACAGGAUUAGAUACCCUGGUAGUCCACGCUGUAAAACGAUGUCGAUUUGGAGGUUGUGCCCUUGAGGCGUGGCUUCCGGAGCUAACGCGUUAAAUCGACCGCCUGGGGAGUACGGCCGCAAGGUU
This 551-nucleotide ribosomal RNA is filed under the name uncultured bacterium. Its description in RNAcentral is "partial 16S ribosomal RNA". It matches the Rfam family "Bacterial small subunit ribosomal RNA", at positions 355 to 895 of the family's 1533-position model. The record is from RNAcentral.